UUAUAUGUACCCUGUAGAAUCGAAUUUGUGUGAGCACCUCAAUCACAAAUUCGUCUCUAGGGGAGUAUAUGGA
Molecule: microRNA precursor, 73 nt
Organism: Anolis carolinensis (green anole)
Lineage: Eukaryota; Metazoa; Chordata; Lepidosauria; Squamata; Anolidae
Rfam family: mir-10 microRNA precursor family
About the family: In this case the mature sequence comes from the 5' arm of the precursor. The extents of the hairpin precursors are not generally known and are estimated based on hairpin prediction.
Source: Rfam